AGCGAACGCUGGCGGCAGGCCUAACACAUGCAAGUCGAACGCACCUUCGGGUGAGUGGCGGACGGGUGAGUAACACGUGGGAACGUACCUUUAGGUUCGGAAUAACGCAGGGAAACUUGCGCUAAUACCGAAUGUGCCCUUCGGGGGAAGGAUUUAUCGCCUUUAGAGCGGCCCGCGUUAGAUUAGCUAGUUGGUGAGGUAAUGGCCCACCAAGGCUACGAUCUAUAGCUGGUCUGAGAGGANGAUCAGCCACACUGGGACUGAGACACGGCCCAGACUCCUACGGGAGGCAGCAGUGGGGAAUCUUGCGCAAUGGGCGAAAGCCUGACGCAGCCAUGCCGCGUGAAUGAUGAAGGU
Molecule: ribosomal RNA, 357 nt
Filed under: uncultured bacterium
Lineage: Bacteria
Description: bacterial SSU rRNA
Rfam family: Bacterial small subunit ribosomal RNA
Source: RNAcentral